AAGCCUCUCUCAGGAUCGGUGACAACAUUGACACACGACGAGUGCGCGCAACGAUAUGGCAUGGUUGGUGAAGCUAGCAAGAAAAAAUGC
This is a non-coding RNA of Caenorhabditis elegans, 90 nucleotides long. Lineage: Eukaryota; Metazoa; Nematoda; Chromadorea; Rhabditida; Rhabditidae. The record is from Ensembl.